UGAGGCUCAAGGAGAUAGAAGCUCUUGUUUGGGAAGUGAUGGAAGGGGUCCGUGGGAAGAAGAUGAGGGAGAAUGCCAGGAAGUGGAAAGAAAGAGCUGUGGAAGCCGCCGGUCGCGGAGGGUCAUUGGGCAAUGAUUUCAAUAGAUUCAUUAAGGAGGUUGUCCAUUUGAAUGAUUAGGUUAAAAACGAGUUAUCACCAUAUUCCCAUGUCUGCCAGAAAUAUAU
Long non-coding RNA from Rhodamnia argentea, 226 nucleotides. RefSeq lists it as uncharacterized. The transcript is spliced from 2 exons. Lineage: Eukaryota; Viridiplantae; Streptophyta; Magnoliopsida; Myrtales; Myrtaceae. The record is from RefSeq and is a predicted model, not a curated record.